UCAUAUGCUUGUCUCAAAGAUUAAGCCAUGCAUGUCUAAGUACAUGCCGCAUUAAGGUGAAACCGCGAAUGGCUCAUUAAAUCAGUUAUGGUUCCUUAGAUCGUACCAAUCCUACUUGGAUAACUGUGGUAAUUCUAGAGCUAAUACAUGCCGAUAAUGCUCCAAUCCCUCGCGGGAAACGAGCGCUUUUAUUAGAACAAGACCAAUACGGGCCACUCGAAGCGGUGUCUCGGCCGUCAAAAAGUCGAGCCCGCCUAGAACCCGUCUCAAAAACUUGGUGACUCUGGAUAACUUUGAGCUGAUCGCACGGCCCUCGCGCCGGCGACGCAUCUUUCAAAUGUCUGACUUAUCAACUGUCGAUGGUAGGUUAUGUGCCUACCAUGGUUGUAACGGGUAACGGAGAAUCAGGGUUCGAUUCCGGAGAGGGAGCCUGAGAAACGGCUACCACAUCCAAGGAAGGCAGCAGGCACGCAAAUUACCCACUCCCGGCACGGGGAGGUAGUGACGAAAAAUAACAAUACGGGACUCUUCCGAGGCCUCGUAAUUGGAAUGAGCACACUUUAAAACCUUUAGCGAGGAUCUAUUGGAGGGCAAGUCUGGUGCCAGCAGCCGCGGUAAUUCCAGCUCCAAUAGCGUAUAUUAAAGUUGUUGCGGUUAAAAAGCUCGUAGUUGGAUCUCGGUGCCGGACCGACGGUCCGCCCUUCGUUUGGCGGUACACUGUCGGCCCCGGAGCCAUCAACCCGCCGGCCUUGUCCCUCGAUGCUCUUCACCGAGUGUCGUGCGGCGACCGGAACGUUUACUUUGAACAAAUUAGAGUGCUCAAGGCAGGCGCAGUCCCCGCCCGCAUAGCCCAGCAUGGAAUAAUGGAAUAGGACCUCGGUUCUAUUUUGUUGGUUCUUUCGGAACCCGAGGUAAUGAUUAAUAGGGACAGACGGGGGCAUUCGUAUUGCGGCGCUAGAGGUGAAAUUCUUGGACCGCCGCAAGACGAACUACUGCGAAAGCAUUUGCCAAGAAUGUUUUCAUUAAUCAAGAACGAAAGUUAGAGGUUCGAAGGCGAUCAGAUACCGCCCUAGUUCUAACCAUAAACGAUGCCGACCAGCGAUCCGCCGGAGUUCCUCCGAUGACUCGGCGGGCAGCUUCCGGGAAACCUAAAGUUUUUGGGUUCCGGGGGAAGUAUGGUUGCAAAGCUGAAACUUAAAGGAAUUGACGGAAGGGCACCACCAGGAGUGGAGCCUGCGGCUUARUUUGACUCAACACGGGGAAACUCACCCGGCCCGGACACUGGAAGGAUUGACAGAUUGAGAGCUCUUUCUUGAUUCGGUGGUUGGUGGUGCAUGGCCGUUCUUAGUUGGUGGAAAUUUGAUUUGUCUGGUUGAUUCCGAUAACGAACGAGACUCUAGCCUGCUAAAUAGCUGAUCCAUACUAUCGGUGCGCCGUUACCUCGCCUUCGCGAUCCGUCGCGUCUCCGGGUCGUUCUUACGGUCCCGUCGGUGUUAUACCUUGGCUUUCUGCGGUUGGCUUCUUUUUCGGCCUGGCUCAGUUGGUAUUUGGUUCAUUCCACUUGCCUUCGGGGUUCUAGUCGGGGAGUUGUUGAUCGUAUGUUUACCUUGGCUUACCCGGCGGAUCAACCGCUUGGCGGCUUGGGUUAAAGAUGUUGGCGGUGAUGUUGGUGAGAGUCGGCCUCCGGAGUGGGUCACUCGCUUCUUAGAGGGACAAGCGGCGUAUAGCCGCACGAGAUUGAGCAAUAACAGGUCUGUGAUGCCCUUAGAUGUCCGGGGCCGCACGCGCGCUACAAUGAAACGGUGAGCAGGUCUGUUGCCCUCGGCCGAGAGGCCUGGGUAACCCUGUGAAUCCCUUUCUUGGUUGGGAUCGGGGCUUGAAACCAACCCCGUGAACUAGGAAUUCCUAGUAUGCGCGAGUCAUCAACUUGCGUAGACUACGUCCCUGCCCUUUGUACACACCGCCCGUCGCUACUACCGAUUGAAUGAUUUAGUGAGAUCUUCGGACUGGCGGUCGCGGCGGCCCUCGGGUCGCUGCGGCGUGCCGGGAAGAUGACCGAACUUGACCAUUUAGAGGAAGUAAAAGUCGUAACAAGGUUUCC
Molecule: ribosomal RNA, 2101 nt
Filed under: Lamyctes inermipes
Lineage: Eukaryota; Metazoa; Arthropoda; Chilopoda; Lithobiomorpha; Henicopidae
Description: SSU rRNA
Rfam family: Eukaryotic small subunit ribosomal RNA
Source: RNAcentral